AACGCGUGAGCAACCUGCCCCUGUCAGGGGUAUAGCCCCUCGAAAGAGGGAUUAACACCGCAUGAGACAGUAUUCCCGCAUGGGAUAGCUGUUAAAUAUUCAUAGGACAGGGAUGGGCUCGCGUGGCAUUAGCUAGUUGGUAGGUAACGGCUUACCAAGGCGACGAUGCCUAGGGGCUCUGAGAGGAGAAUCCCCCACACUGGUACUGAGACACGGACCAGACUCCUACGGGAGGCAGCAGUAAGGAAUAUUGGUCAAUGGGCGGAAGCCUGAACCAGCCAUGCCGCGUGCAGGAUGACUGCCCUAUGGGUUGUAAACUGCUUUUGUCCAGGAAUAAACCUCUUACGUGAGAGAGCUGAAUGUACUGGAAGAAUAAGGAUCGGCUAACUCCGUGCCAGCAGCCGCGGUAAUACGGAGGAUCCGAGCGUUAUCCGGAUUUAUUGGGUUUAAAGGGUGCGUAGGCGGCCUUUUAAGUCAGGGGUGAAAGACGGUGGCUCAACCAUCGCAGUGCCCUUGAUACUGAAGGGCUUGAAUUGCUGAGGUAGGCGGAAUGUGACAAGUAGCGGUGAAAUGCAUAGAUAUGUCACAGAACACCGAUUGCGAAGGCAGCUUACCAAACUAUGAUUGACGCUGAGGCUCGAAAGCGUGGGGAUCGAACAGGAUUAGAUACCCUGGUAGUCCACGCCCUAAACGAUGAUAACUCGAUGUUGGCGAUAUACAGUCAGCGUCCAAGCGAAAGCGUUAAGUUAUCCACCUGGGGAGUACGCCCGCAAGGGUGAAACUCAAAGGAAUUGACGGGGGCCCGCACAAGCGGAGGAGCAUGUGGUUUAAUUCGAUGAUACGCGAGGAACCUUACCCGGGCUUGAAAGUUACUGAAUUAUCAGAGAUGGAUAGUCCUUCGGGACAGGAAACUAGGUGCUGCAUGGCUGUCGU
Molecule: ribosomal RNA, 933 nt
Filed under: Puccinia triticina Race 106
Lineage: Eukaryota; Fungi; Basidiomycota; Pucciniomycetes; Pucciniales; Pucciniaceae
Description: bacterial SSU rRNA
Rfam family: Bacterial small subunit ribosomal RNA
Source: RNAcentral